GGCUAGAUAGCUCAGUUGGUAGAGCCCCGGCAUGUUAAGCCGGGGGUCGCAGGUUCAAGUCCUGCUUUGGUUA
Molecule: non-coding RNA, 73 nt
Organism: Asterias rubens (European starfish)
Lineage: Eukaryota; Metazoa; Echinodermata; Asteroidea; Forcipulatida; Asteriidae
Source: the annotation of a RefSeq genome assembly